Non-coding RNA from Acanthosepion pharaonis, 93 nucleotides. Lineage: Eukaryota; Metazoa; Mollusca; Cephalopoda; Sepiida; Sepiidae. The record is from the annotation of a GenBank genome assembly.
UUUGAAAUACCGGUUUCCGUAUGAUCACUGAAGUUAAGCAAUGUCGAGCCUGGUCAGUACCUACAUGGGUGACCGCUUGUGAAUACCAGGUAC